AACGCGAAGAACCUUACCCAGACUUGACAUGCAGUGGACAGCUCUAGAAAUAGAGUCUCUCUUCGGAGCCGCUGCACAGGUGCUGCAUGGCUGUCGUCAGCUCGUGCCGUGAGGUGUUUGGUUAAGUCCAGCAACGAGCGCAACCCUUAUCAUUAGUUGCCAACAUUUAAGGUGGGAACUCUAAUGAGACUGCCCGGGUUAACCGGGAGGAAGGUGAGGAUGACGUCAAGUCCGCAUGGCCCUUAUGUCUGGGGCUACACACGUGCUACAAUGGUCGGUACAGAAGGCAGCGAAACCGCGAGGUGAAGCAAAUCCCAAAAAGCCGAUCUCAGUUCAGAUUGUAGUCUGCAACUCGACUACAUGAAGACGGAAUUGCUAGUAAUGGCAGGUCAGCACACUGCCGUGAAUACGUUCCCGGGCCUUGUACACACCGCUCGCGA
Molecule: ribosomal RNA, 440 nt
Filed under: uncultured bacterium
Lineage: Bacteria
Description: bacterial SSU rRNA
Rfam family: Bacterial small subunit ribosomal RNA
Source: RNAcentral